This 438-nucleotide ribosomal RNA is filed under the name uncultured bacterium. RNAcentral describes it as "bacterial SSU rRNA". It matches the Rfam family "Bacterial small subunit ribosomal RNA", at positions 342 to 797 of the family's 1533-position model. The record is from RNAcentral.
UUGGAGGCAGCAGUGGGGAAUAUUGCACAAUGGGGGAAACCCUGAUGCAGCAACGCCGCGUGAGUGAUGAAGGUCUUCGGAUUGUAAAACUCUGUCUUUGGGGACGAUAAUGACGGUACCCAAGGAGGAAGCCACGGCUAACUACGUGCCAGCAGCCGCGGUAAUACGUAGGUGGCAAGCGUUGUCCGGAUUUACUGGGCGUAAAGGGAGCGUAGGUGGAUAUUUAAGUGGGAUGUGAAAUACUCGGGCUUAACCUGAGUGCUGCAUUCCAAACUGAAUAUCUAGAGUGCAGGAGAGGAAAGUAGAAUUCCUAGUGUAGCGGUGAAAUGCGUAGAGAUUAGGAAGAAUACCAGUGGCGAAGGCGACUUUCUGGACUGUAACUGACACUGAGGCUCGAAGGCGUGGGGAGCAAACAGGAUUAGAUACCCCUGUAGUCCG